CUCCGUUUCAGACUGUGUGGGGCUGAUACCAAAGCGGUUGGCUAUCAUAGAGUGGAUCUGUCUCUGACGGUCCUUCUUACGGACGCUCUCGUAGGACGGAAGGCGGGGCAGGAUCCCAUCCAGGUGAUAGCUACUGGGCUUACCGAUGAUAAACAGCCUCCCUGGAAGCUGCAGACACACACCAAACAUGUUUAUAUGAUAUCACUUUUUCUAUUUUUCAAGAGUUGAUCUGAUUGCUCAAAAGACCAGUUAGUGGAAAAAGAUCAGAAUUGGGCUGCCUGUGUAAACGCAGCCUAAUUACAAACGACACUGGGCAUCAAUAACAAUGUGAAAGCAGGUCAGAUGGUUUUUAAAUAGAGAUUAUAAUAGGGAGAAGUGAAUGAAUUAAUACCUAAAUCUCGAUGUGUAAUAGGGGAGUGUGGGGUAAGUUGAGCCACCCUUGUUUCUAGUAAACCAUACACAAAAUGUAUAAUUUUACCGAAUAUUUAGGAAGAGGUCAUAAUUUCAUGGACUUUGUGGAGGAAGUAACCACAUGGAAAAAGUGUUUAAGCAAGUUAGGUACAAAAAACAAGCUUCUCUAUAAGCUUCAAUAUGAGGUUCUAAACCUAGCAUGAAAGUGCAUCCUUGUAGCUGUGUGGGCUAAUAUAGUUCAAAUGUUUGCCUUAGGGUAGAUUGAGCCAAUGGCCAUGUUUAAUUUGAGUCAAUAGUUUGAGUCAAAUUGAGCAAAUGUAAAUGUUUUCUUCCCAGGCGUAAUGCAAGGCAUUAUUGCUGGGAUAUGAGGUAACAACAGGGCCUUGCCUGUGUUAAAAGUGUUUAAAAAAGUAUAAAGCGUUUGUUAGGUGUUAAGCCUGUGUUAAAACCCUCUUGAGUCCAUUUCCCCCCGUGGAAAUAUAAUUAGCAUAAUAAAAAAAAUCCCCAUACAUAUCUGUCUGUUAGGCAAGAGAUCUCUAUUAUAGUUUUGCUCUACAACCCCCACAAGCGUCACUAGACUCGUCUGAAGUCGGUACCGCCGAUCUGCCAACUUCUGUCUGUAGCGUCCAAACGUUUUGGGCUACACACUAAUGUGACCCCUCUAUGGAAAGGUGACUCUUUCAUUACAUGCACAGUACAUGUCGGUUGUUUUGCUCUAGGACGCCGACAAGCCUCACAAGACUCGCCUGAAGGUGCCCAGUACCAGUUUAAAAAAUGAAUGGAAGUACAUACUGUGUGGAAGUAGUUUAGUGCCUAAAAAAGGGGCUAAAUAGGUGUAAAAAAAUACAUCUCCUGAUCUUUAUUUAAUCUCUCAGAUAUAGGACAUCUGUUUUUCCAUGUAUGAUUCUGUUAUUCAUUGCAUUUCUAUAGGCUAAUAGCAGUAAGGCCAAAUUCAAUGUUUCAUCAAAAAAAUUGUAAAAUACAUUUGGGAUACCUAAAUCCAGCGGCUCUACUUAACCUGUCCCGAGGCUCAACUUAACCUGUCCCGCGGCUCUACUUAACCUGUCCCGCGGCUCUCCUUACCCUGUCCCGCGGCUCUACUUACCCUGUCCCGAGGCUCAACUUACCCUGUCUCGCGGCUCUACUUACCCUGUCCCGCGGCUCAACUUACCCUGUCCCGCGGCUCUACUUACCCUGUCCCGCGGCUCAACUUAACCUGUCCCGGGGCUCAACUUACCCUGUCCCGCGGCUCUACUUACCCUGUCCCGGGGCUCAACUUACCCUGUCCUGCGACUCUACUUACCCCAUACCCUGAGUAAGUUAUGAUGAAAGACCACUUUUUUUGGACAAGCUAUGCUUUCAAAACUGUAAAGUUUACAUGUAUUCUGAUUAUUACCAGGUAUACACAACAUCCUGAAAUAUAUGUGGAUAUCUUUGUUAGAAAGAAUACCAUAUUUCCCUUGACAGGGUGAUGCUGAAUGAACAAAAUGGCUAAACUUACCCCACUCUCCCCUACUAUGUAAAGACGGAGGCUUUUUUUCACCUGGGAACCAAUGUUUCCGUGGGCCAUGGCAGCAGUACGUUCAUCGUAGGGAGACACCACUAGAGACUGUCUUCUGUUGUACUGGGGUGGAGCAUCCUGGGUAGGGAGAGAAGAGGGAAGACUUGUUAAAGUCUGUCUACACUACAGUGGAAAAUUGUCUUAAAUCUUACCAAAGUUCAGUCGGUGUAAAAUAAAGUUAUUCUAUUCUGUUCUAUUCUAAUAUGUUCUAUUCUGUUCUAUUCUAUCUUUACAAUUAGUAACGCAGCAGCAACAACAAAGGCAUGACAACAGUUCAAUACAAUUCUCCAAUGAAUUAACCUCUACCUAGGUUACUAGGCGGUGAUUGAGUAACUUGGCUAUAGAGCUAUAAUUACAUUUUCUUCAAGCCCAAUAAUAUACUCCACUAAAUUAGAAUCAGUCUUGAUAAGGACUACCAGAGCUGUUCUCCUGAUCUGAUGCAUGUUAUGCACAAUCGACCACACAAUGGAAAAUGCCUUUGCCAAAUUCUACAGUUAGAUCCAACCAUCUCUUUGUUUAUCCCUCUGACUCGGCUCUGACACUCUGUUGCAGUCUCAUGGAUACCUGUUCCCUACUGAUAACGGUAUAUGGAUUUUAACAUGAGACAUCAUUGUGCACACACAAUCCCCUGGCAGCCUCCAUAAUAUCACAGCAUCAUUUGUAAUUUAAUCAACUAAUACUGGUUUAACAAAGCAACAGUGUUGAUAUUUUCUAUGUUAAUAUUGAAAAUGUUUGGCUUGAAUGAGUGGAAGGAAAGGAGUGGGAGGCAAAUGGGUCUGGAGGAUGGCCUUCACUGUAACUGACUAGCAUGUGAUGCAAAGGAAAAACACACUCAUGAAAGGUUAUCUCAGAUGGUUGAAUAACAAAUUGCUGUAUAUUAACAGAAGAAUAACAAUGUUUUUGAUACAACCAACCAAAAGGUCAAAGGAGAGUUUAUCUGUGGUUGCAUUCUCAAUAGGGGAGAAAAAUAUGGAUACAAAAAGCAGGGGGUAAUGACCUUAACCUUAUCAACUGAGCUGUGCACUGCCUGCUCUCUCAGCUCUGUAUCAUAACAAAUACAGAAAACAGAGUUGCACAGGGAAAUAUUAUUCACGUAAACCUUUUAAAACAGCCACUACAGCCACUAGGGUUUGGCCAGGGUAGGCUGUCAUUGUAAAUAAGAAUUUGUUCUUAACUGACUUGCCUAGUUAAAUAAAAUAAAUAAAUAAUCUACUGUACACUAUAGGACUGUGCUCUACUGUACUGUGAUGUACCCUAAUCUACUGUACUCUAAAGGACUGUACUGUACUGUACUGCACACUAUAGGACUGUGCUCUACUGUACUGUGAUGUACCCUAAUCUACUGUACUCUAAAGGACUGUACUGUACUCUACUGUACUGUACACUAUAGGACUGUGCUCUACUGUACUGUGAUGUACCCUAAUCUACUGUACUCUACACUAUAGGACUGUGCUCUACUGUACUGUACUCUAUAGGACUGUACUCUACUGUACUGUACACUAUAGGACUGUGCUCUACUGUACUGUACUCUACUGUACUGUGCUCUACUGUACUGUACACUAUAGGACUGUGCUCUACUGUACUGUGAUGUACCCUAAAGGACUGUACUGUACUCUACUGUACUGUACACUAUAGGACUGUGCUCUACUGUACUGUGAUGUACCCUAAUCUACUGUACUCUAAAGGACUAGACUGUACUCUACUGUACUGUACACUAUAGGACUGUGCUCUACUGUACUGUGAUGAACCCUAAUCUACUGUACUCUAAAGGACAGUACUGUUCUCUACUGUACUGUACACUAUAGGACUGUGCUCUACUGUACUGUGAUGUACCCUAAUCUACUGUACUCUAAAGGACUGUACUGUACUCUACUGUACUGUACACAAUAGGACUCUGCUCUACUGUACUGUGAUGUACCCUAAUCUACUGUACUCUAAAGGACUGUACUGUACUCUACUGUACUGUACACUAUAGGACUGUGCUCUACUGUACUGUGAUGUACCCUAAUCUACUGUACUCUAAAGGACUCUACUGUACUCUACUGUACUGCACACUAUAGGACUGUGCUCUACUGUACUGUGAUGUACCCUAAUCUACUGUACUCUAAAGGACUGUACUGUACUCUACUGUACUGUACACUAUAGGACUGUGCUCUACUGUACUGUACACUAUAGGACUGUGCUCUACUGUACUGUGAUGUACCCUAAAGGACUGUACUGUACUCUACUGUACUGUACACUAUAGGACUGUGCUCUACUGUCCUGUGAUGUACCCUAAUCUACUGUACUCUAAAGGACUGUACUGUACUCUACUGUACUGUACACAAUAGGACUGUGCUCUACUGUACUGUACACUAUAGGACUGUACUCUACUGUACUGUGAUGUACCCUAAUCUACUGUACUCUAAAGGACUGUACUGUACUCUACUGUACUGUACACUAUAGGACUGUGCUCUACUGUACUGUGAUGUACCCUAAUCUACUGUACUCUAAAGGACUGUACUGUACUCUACUGCACUGUACACUAUAGGACUGUGCUCUACUGUACUGUGAUGUACCCUAAUCUACUGUACUCUAAAGGACUGUACUGUACUCUACUGUACUGUACACUAUAGGACUGUGCUCUACUGUACUGUGAUGUACCCUAAUCUACUGUACUCUAAAGGACUGUACUGUACUCUACUGUACUGUACACUAUAGGACUGUGCUCUACUGUACUGUGAUGUACCCUAAUCUACUGUACUCUAAAGGACUGUACUGUACUCUACUGUACUGUACACAAUAGGACUGUGCUCUACUAUACUGUGAUGUACCCUAAUCUACUGUACUCUAAAGGACUGUACUGUACUCUACUGUACUGUACACUAUAGGACUGUGCGCUACUGUACUGUACUCUACUGUACUGUGCUCUACUGUACUGUACACUAUAGGACUGUGCUCUACUGUACUGUGAUGUACCCUAAAGGACUGUACUGUACUCUACUGUACUGUACACUAUAGGACUGUGCUCUACUGUACUGUGAUGUACCCUAAUCUACUGUACUGUAAAGGACUGUACUGUACUCCACUGUACUGUACACUAUAGGACUGUGCUCUACUGUACUGUGAUGUACCCUAAUCUACUGUACUCUAAAGGACUGUACUGUACUCUACUGUACUGUACACAAUAGGACUGUGCUCUACUGUACUGUACACUAUAGGACUGUGCUCUACUGUACUGUGAUGUACCCUAAUCUACUGUACUCUAAAGGACUGUACUGUACUUUACUGUACUGUACACAAUAGGACUGUGCUCUACUGUACUGUACACUAUAGGACUGUACUCUACUGUACUGUGAUGUACCCUAAUCUACUGUACUCUAAAGGACUAGACUGUGCUCUACUGUACUGUACACUAUAGGACUGUGCUCUACUGUACUGUACACUAUAGGACUGUGCUCUACUGUACUGUACACUAUAGGACUGUGCUCUACUGUACUGUACACUAUAGGACUGUGCUCUACUGUACUGUACUGUACACUAUAGGACUGUACUCUACUGUACACUAUAGGACUGUACUCUACUGUACUGUACACUAUAGGACUGUACUCUACUGUACACUAUAGGACUGUACUCUACUGUACUGUACACUAUAGGACUGUGCUCUACUGUACUGUACACUAUAGGACUGUACUCUACUGUACUGUGCACUAUAGGACUGUGCUCUACUGUACUGUACACUAUAGGACUCUACUGUACUGUACACUAUAGGACUGUGCUCUACUGUACUGUACACUAUAGGACUGUGCUCUACUGUACUGUACACUAUAGGACUGUGCUCUACUGUACUGUACACUAUAGGACUGUGCUCUACUGUACUGUACUGUACACUAUAGGACUGUACUCUACUGUACACUAUAGGACUGUACUCUACUGUACUGUACACUAUAGGACUGUACUCUACUGUACACUAUAGGACUGUACUCUACUGUACUGUACACUAUAGGACUGUGCUCUACUGUACUGUACACUAUAGGACUGUACUCUAGUGUACUGUACACUAUAGGACUGUGCUCUACUGUACUGUACUGUACACUAUAGGACUGUACUCUACUGUACACUAUAGGACUGUACUCUACUGUACUGUACACUAUAGGACUGUACUGUACUGUACACUAUAGGACUGUACUCUACUGUACUGUACACUAUAGGACUCUACUGUACUGUACACUAUAGGACUCUACUGUACUGUACACUAUAGGACUGUACUCUACUGUACUGUACACUAUAGGACUGUACUGUACUGUACACUAUAGGACUGUACUCUACUGUACUGUACACUAUAGGACUGUACUCUACUGUACUGUACACUAUAGGACUGUACUCUACUGUACUGUACACUAUAGGACUCUACUGUACUGUACACUAUAGGACUGUACUCUACUGUACUGUACACUAUAGGACUCUACUGUACUGUACACUAUAGGACUCUACUGUACUGUACACUAUAGGACUGUACUCUACAGUUGAAGAAAGGGUCCAUAGACUCUUGAUCUAGUGGUCUUGAGAACACAUAAACACGUGUUUUUACUUGUCUUAUUCCAACUCACUGGAUCUGGAUCUUGGGACCAAUGUCCUGGCAUAAAUCAUGGUCUUGGCUCCUGGAUAGUGCCUUAGUUUUUGGUUUACAAUAAUAGGCAUCCCAAUUUGAAGAAGACAAUGCUCUCUGAUCAUUGGCUGAUCACUCCCAACCCAUAAAGAAUCCCCACCCAGUUGACAACUUUUAAAUAGUGGAAGACCUCAAUGGCAAUCUCUAUACUAAAACGAGUUAUAUACAAUGUUCGCUUACAUUUUUUUUGUCAUUGAACAAAUUUCAGGUCUGCAGAGCGCAAACUUGAACGUUGUGAAAAUUCUGUGCAACUUUCGGCACGCGUUUACUGUGAACACUGAGGCUGUACCCGCUUUAAGUUAGUUUUAACAGUGGUCAAGUAGGCUGCUGUGGCUAUUUGAUCAUAAUGUAGACCUACCAGAGUGGCCCACCAUCAUAAACAAUGGAGAAAAUACAUCCCAUAACAUUUUAACAUGGAAAUAGCUGUUCUGUCAUUCAGCCUACAGUAGCAGCCAAUGUGUGGUGUUCAAUGUAGUCUUUUUAAAAAAACAUGCAGGUUUUGACAUUAACCUGUUUAUCCACUUGUCCUUCAGACAAGGAGGUGAUGCUAGAAACCACUUUACAAAAUAAAAUGCAUAAUUAUUUCCAUACCAAAUUAUGUCUGUCUCAAAAUACAACACUGCCCCUUUAAGACCAAAAAAAGCUCUUUACCUGAAUCGCUUUUCAAAGAUGUCUAGAAAUGUACACGUUUUAUGUUCUUGUAGGAAGCAAUCACUCCCCUAUUGCUGACUACAAAUGAUCUAUAAUUGGGCUAAUAACUCACUAACUAGCAAAGGAUAUUAACAAAUAUGACUCACCACCUGGAUUCAGUCUUACGUAGCAACAUUUGAGAUUGUGUUUUUUACAUUGGAUAAAAGUAGAGAUUCAGAGCUACAAAAUGGUAUAUCAUACACUGCAUUUGAGGAAAAAUGGGAAAGUAAUUCUGCUUUGAAAGUUGAUCAACUUCUAAACUCACUUUUAAGAAAAUGGCCUUUGAAUAUUUUGGUAUCUAUUCUUUGUCUACAUCCGUUCAGCAUUGUUCACACCCUCUUAAGGGCUCCCGAGUGGCGCAGCGUUCUAAGGCACUGCAUCUCAGUACAAGAGGUGUCACUACAGUCCCUGGUUUGAAUCCAGGCUGUAAAACCUCCGGCUGUGAUUGGGAGUCCCAUAGGGUGGCGCUCAAUGUCGUCUGGGUUUGGCUGGUGUAGGCCAUCACUGUAAAUAAGAAUUAGUUCAAUUUCAUUACGCUUUUUUGCAGAUGUUUACUGACACCGGCCAUAUUCAUACACGUUAGCUCUCGCUUUGAUCUCAAAAGAAACGCAUCUACUCACGACCGCUCAUGCUGUAAAAACAGUCCAGUUCAAAGUGAAUGGCACAGAUCCACAUAUGGCAAUGGUCUAUUUGCAUAUAGGCCUACUGCAACUCUGAUUGGUUAUGGCGCACCAGUCUGUGUAGAGUACAGGCAUGAGUCGUGCCUGUCAAUUAAAUAGAAUCCUACUCUGCUGCGUUCUGCCUACAACAACAUCUCUUGCAUAGUUAGUUUUGUUUCAGUAUGUUGCAAUGAAAGUGGCUAAUAUUGCAUUGAUUUGAUCAAAAUUCCCACAGUAAAGAAAAACGUUGGUAGUGUUAACUAACGGGGAAAACUCUAGGUAGUUGAGUGAAUUUCAAUCUUGUGCUUCUCUGCGCAGGCUGAUAUUUCUUCUGUACUGCAAUCCCGGGGGAGCUGUGUGUCCACGGAAGCGUGCAGUUUAGAGGGAACAUUGGUUAUAUCCAGCUAGAGUCCUCUAUUUAUCUCUAUGAUUGACACUUGUCACCAAAGCGCCUGUUAUUUUGCCAAAAUAAAGAUUGGUAAAGGGAUCAUUUCCACAUCUAACAACAUAAUUAGCUAGAUGCAUAUUUAAUUAAAUCUACAAGUUUGAGAUUCUUACAAUCAACAUGGAACAUUUUACAGACAAUAAUAGAGAUGAUAUUUCUCUAAAUGAAAUUGAAAGGUUUUGAAAAUCUGGUAAAAAGUCAUGUUUUUACUAUUUUCUUAAUUUGGUCUGCCAAUAACAUUUCUAAUCUGGAAUAGAAGGUUAAUCAAAAUGAAUCCAAAUGAUCACUACUGUAGACGGUUCUCCCUUAAUUUGAACUUUUCCACUUUGUUUCGGUAGUAACAAACUUAGUGGGGUGGUAAUGAAUUCAGGUAAAUAUUUCAAAUAUGCAAUAAAAAACAAAGUGUGUGAAUAGUAUAUAUGUCUACUUGACAUAUGUUGGAAGAUGUGUGCUGAAAGUUUGGGAGAAAUACAAUACAAAUAUAAAUUGAUUACCAACCCCCAAUUUACACCACGUCUGUAGAAUAGCCUGUAUACUGCAUUACUUUUGACCAGGGCCCAUAAGGUCUGGUCUACUUGCUGCAGAAAAACAAACAGGAAUCUCUCUUCACCUGAACUAACUUGUGAAUGUUUCAUGCUAGAGCAACAACAAAAAAAACAGCAAAUGUAUAAUGACAUCAUUCUCCUUUAUCGUAUCUCGCUCUUAUUGGUUACUGAAAUCCAUUAUUACACAUUUAUACAAAGUUCCACAGAGUUUAUAGUACUCUGUUGUACCUGUGUUCAUAUUAUUUUGUCUCAGUGAGUACAUAAUGGUUUAUGGAUGUUUCUCUAGCCUCGUUUACCAGACUCCUGCUACUGUAAUCAGGCUCCCAGCUGGUGAACAUGUUUAUGAUAUUGUAGCGAUCCUCGCUAUAUGAUCCACCUUACAUUCCCACC
Molecule: long non-coding RNA, 9349 nt
Filed under: Salmo salar (Atlantic salmon)
Lineage: Eukaryota; Metazoa; Chordata; Actinopteri; Salmoniformes; Salmonidae
Description: lncRNA (ENSSSAG00000087052.1)
Source: RNAcentral